CAAUUUAGGGCUCCCAUCCCAGGCCAAUAUUAAUUGAGGGGGAAAGUGAGAUGAGGAAGAAUCCACUGACCCCAAACAGGCCUGGGGUGUUCAUGCAAAUGAAGCCUCCGUUUUCUCGCUCUUCUCGUCUCUCUCCGCUUCUCCUCACCUUAUUAGCUUUCAUCCUCUUCGUCUCCGUCCUCUAUGCCCACAAUCUCCUCUUCAUCUCUCGUCAACAUCCUCAUCCCUCCGGCGAGUCCCACCACUUCAAUUCAAGCCCCGAUGUUCAUCAUUCUUCUCAUAUACCAGAAAGGGUUAUAAGGCGGCGGCAGGAAGCAGUGCCGUUCGCCGUCGGGAGAACGCAGGAGGGGUGCGAUGUGUUCAGUGGGAGUUGGGUGCGGGACGAGGCGGCGAGGCCGCUGUACGAGGAAUCCGAGUGUCCGUACAUACAGCCACAGCUGACGUGUCAGGAGCAUGGGCGGCCGGAGAAGGAGUACCAGCACUGGAGAUGGCAGCCCGAGGGUUGCGAUCUUCCCAAAUUCAAUGCGAGCUUGAUGCUGGAAACACUCCGAGGGAAGAGGAUGAUGUUCGUGGGAGACUCCCUGAAUCGUGGUCAGUAUGUCUCCAUGGUCUGUCUCCUGCAUCGCCUCAUUCCUCCAGAAGCCAAAUCCAUGGAAACCUUCGGUUCCCUCACCGUCUUCACCGCCAAGAACUACAACGCCACCAUCGAGUUCUACUGGGCGCCGUUUCUGCUGGAGUCCAACUCUGACGAUGCCGUCGUCCACAGGAUAACCGACAGGAUCGUCAGAAAGGGCUCCAUCAACAAGCACGGGAGGAAUUGGAAAGGCGCUGAUAUCAUAGUAUUCAACACCUACCUCUGGUGGAUGACCGGCUCCAAGAUGAAGAUCCUGCUCGGAUCUUUUGAUGACAAAGUGAAAGACAUAGCACGCAUGUCAACCGAUGAUGCUUAUCGCAUGGCCAUGAAGAGUAUGCUCAAAUGGGUGAAGCAGAACAUGGACCCUAACAACACAAGAGUCUUCUUCACCAGCAUGUCUCCUUCUCACACAAAGAGCGUAGAGUGGGGAGGGAGAGCGGAAGGGAACUGCUACAAUGAAACGAGACCGAUCGAGGAUUGGACGUACGAUUGGGGAGGGGAGGCAGAGAGGGGCAUAAUGAGAGUGAUAGGACAAGUGUUUGGGAAAUCCAAAGUGCCCAUUACGUUCCUCAACAUCACGCGGCUCUCAGGCUAUCGCAAAGAUGCGCACACUGCUAUCUACAAGAAACAAUGGAACCCUUUGACUCCUCAGCAGUUAGCUAACCCAGCUUCCUACGCUGAUUGUGUUCACUGGUGCUUGCCUGGCCUCCAAGACACUUGGAAUGAGCUUCUCUUUGCCAAGCUCUUUUACCCUUAAAAUUCAAUUCUAUAUUCUUUCUUAAUUGAUGCCACCGUGUGUCCACAGAAUGAAAGAGAGGGAUAAUGUAUAGGGAGGAUGACACCCAAGUGCCGAAAGAGCAAAUUAAUCACGAUUAGGUUCUCGGUGAAAUUUUUUGAAAAAUCAGUUGCGAAUAUUAAUUCAAAUGACUGCAGAUUUAAGAAUUCUAAUUGCAAA
RNA transcript from Neltuma alba, 1589 nucleotides. It is a transcript of the gene named protein trichome birefringence-like 33, with no coding region annotated. NCBI's taxonomy places the organism in Eukaryota, Viridiplantae, Streptophyta, Magnoliopsida, Fabales, Fabaceae. The record is from RefSeq and is a predicted model, not a curated record. The transcript is spliced from 6 exons.